GCCGAGCGGUAUAUUUCUUUCGGGAAAUAGAGAGCGGCGUACGGGUGCGGAACACGUGUGCAACCUGCCUUUAUCAGGGGGAUAGCCUUUCGAAAGGAAGAUUAAUACCCAAUAAUAUAUGAUUCGGCAUCGGAUUAUAUUGAAAACUAUAUUUGGUUACAGAUGGG
Molecule: ribosomal RNA, 167 nt
Filed under: Elizabethkingia sp.
Lineage: Bacteria; Pseudomonadati; Bacteroidota; Flavobacteriia; Flavobacteriales; Weeksellaceae
Description: partial 16S ribosomal RNA
Rfam family: Bacterial small subunit ribosomal RNA
Source: RNAcentral